GUGCUCGUUUUAGCAGCACAUAUACUAAAAUAGGAACAAUACAGAGAAAAUUAGUAUGGCCCCUAUGCAAGGAUGACAUGCAAAUUCGUGGAGUGUUCCAUAUAAUU
RNAcentral lists this small nuclear RNA (107 nucleotides) under Carlito syrichta (Philippine tarsier). Lineage: Eukaryota; Metazoa; Chordata; Mammalia; Primates; Tarsiidae. The record is from RNAcentral.